UACGGCGACAUCACGUUGAGGCACCAGUUCCCGUACGAUCACCGAACUUAAGCAACGUCGAGCAUGGCCUGUACCUAGGUGGACGACCUCUUGGGAAUAUCAGGUGCU
Molecule: non-coding RNA, 108 nt
Organism: Acanthosepion pharaonis
Lineage: Eukaryota; Metazoa; Mollusca; Cephalopoda; Sepiida; Sepiidae
Source: the annotation of a GenBank genome assembly